RNAcentral lists this ribosomal RNA (292 nucleotides) under uncultured bacterium. Its description in RNAcentral is "partial 16S ribosomal RNA". It matches the Rfam family "Bacterial small subunit ribosomal RNA", at positions 505 to 796 of the family's 1533-position model. The record is from RNAcentral.
GUGUCAGCCGCCGCGGUAAGACGAAGGUGGCGAGCGUUGUUCGGAAUUACUGGGCUUAAAGGGCGCGUAGGCGGCCCGUCAAGUGCUUUGUGAAAUCCCUCGGCUCAACCGAGGAAUUGCUUGGCAGACUGACGGGCUUGAGGUAGGCAUGGGUGAGUGGAACUCUUGGUGGAGCGGUGGAAUGCGUAGAUAUCAAGAGGAACGCCGGCGGUGAAGACGACUCACUGGGCCUGUCCUGACGCUGAGGCGCGAAAGCCAGGGGAGCAAACGGGAUUAGAUACCCGUGUAGUCC